CAUGCCCUUUGCUACGGAACAGUCCUGGGAAACUGGGUUUAAUACCGUAUGUGCCCUUCGGGGGAAAGAUUUAUCGGCAAAGGAUUGGCCCGCGUUGGAUUAGGUAGUUGGUGGGGUAAAGGCCUACCAAGCCGACGAUCCAUAGCUGGUUUGAGAGGAUGAUCAGCCACACUGGGACUGAGACACGGCCCAGACUCCUACGGGAGGCAGCAGUGGGGAAUCUUAGACAAUGGGGGCAACCCUGAUCUAGCCAUGCCGCGUGAGCGAUGAAGGCCUUAGGGUUGUAAAGCUCUUUCGCUGGAGAAGAUAAUGACGGUACCCAGUAAAGAAGCCCCGGCUAACUCCGUGCUAGCAGCCGCGGUAAUACGGAGGGGGCUAGCGUUGUUCGGAAUUACUGGGCGUAAAGCGCGCGUAGGCGGAUUGGAAAGUUGGGGGUGAAAUCCCGGGGCUCAACCCCGGAACUGCCUCCAAAACUAUCAGUCUUGAGUUCGAGAGAGGUGAGUGGAAUUGCGAGUGUAGAGGUGAAAUUCGUAGAUAUUCGCAGGAACACCAGUGGCGAAGGCGGCUCACUGGCUCGAUACUGACGCUGAGGUGCGAAAGUGUGGG
RNAcentral lists this ribosomal RNA (606 nucleotides) under uncultured bacterium. RNAcentral describes it as "bacterial SSU rRNA". It matches the Rfam family "Bacterial small subunit ribosomal RNA", at positions 125 to 765 of the family's 1533-position model. The record is from RNAcentral.